This 202-nucleotide small nucleolar RNA is filed under the name Sarcophilus harrisii (Tasmanian devil). RNAcentral's name for it is "Small nucleolar RNA U3 (ENSSHAG00000024501.1)". It matches the Rfam family "Small nucleolar RNA U3". Rfam says of the family: Small nucleolar RNAs (snoRNAs) are involved in the processing and modification of rRNA in the nucleolus. There are two main classes of snoRNAs: the box C/D class, and the box H/ACA class. Lineage: Eukaryota; Metazoa; Chordata; Mammalia; Dasyuromorphia; Dasyuridae. The record is from Rfam by way of RNAcentral.
AAGACUAUACUUUCAGGGUCAUUUUGUAUGUGACUAGAGAAUUGGGCUGAAAGUGGCAAGAGUAACCACGAGGAGGGCUGGACCCCUCUUCUGAGCUGAAGCCGGUUAUGGUGCUGCUUCUCAGCAGCUGUCACUUGUCAUUGAUGAUCGUUCUUCCCUCCCUUUGGGUAGGGUGAGAGGAAGGGAACGCAGGCUGAGUGGC